Molecule: long non-coding RNA, 217 nt
Filed under: Prunus persica (peach)
Lineage: Eukaryota; Viridiplantae; Streptophyta; Magnoliopsida; Rosales; Rosaceae
Description: long non-coding RNA (PPER_LNC003281)
Source: RNAcentral
AUGGACGAGAAGUUCCUAAGGUCCAACUAUGUGUUCUGGAUAAUGAAAUAGUCUCGGAAGACGGUCGGUCAACUGAGUGGUCAAACUUCCAAAAUCUGGUCAAUCGAGCCCAAGGGGCCCACAACCUCCGAUUUCCUAUCCGAAAGUUCCUAUGGCUUCAACAAGGUUUAUUAUACAUGUCCUGCAAGUUUGGUCUGAAUCAAACGGUAGGAUCGCU